GUGCUCACUUCAACAGCACAUAUACUAAAAUUGGAACGAUACAGAGAAGAUUAGUAUGGCCCCUGCACAAGGAUGACACACAAAUUCAGGAGGUGUUCCAUAUUUUU
RNAcentral lists this small nuclear RNA (107 nucleotides) under Meriones unguiculatus (Mongolian gerbil). The record is from RNAcentral. Lineage: Eukaryota; Metazoa; Chordata; Mammalia; Rodentia; Muridae.